CUUGAAACACCAGUUCCCGUACGAUCAUCGAAGUUAAACAAUGUUGAGCUUGGUCAGUACCUAGGUGGGUGACCCCUUGGGAAUAGCAGGUGCUGUAAG
Non-coding RNA from Acanthosepion pharaonis, 99 nucleotides. NCBI's taxonomy places the organism in Eukaryota, Metazoa, Mollusca, Cephalopoda, Sepiida, Sepiidae. The record is from the annotation of a GenBank genome assembly.